AUAAAUAUGUGAGGGCAACCUCACCCUUUGAACUAACUUUUGGGGAUGAGAUCCAAGCAUAUUUAACAGUUGUUUCCAUUCUUUAGGGUUCAUUUUUCUCCCCAAUUUUAAUUUUGUUUUUUUUUUUUUAGUCAUUUCAAGUUAUUGUUCGUUCUAGUGGUGAAAAUGAAGAAUCAAUUUAGAUAUGUUGUUGUAUUUCAUUUUGUUGUUGAACCAUGCUUUUGAAGGUUUAUGAAGGGUGAUUCAAAAUUGGAAAUGUAUUAAAGCAAAUUAAACACAUUCUUGAAUUG
RNAcentral lists this long non-coding RNA (290 nucleotides) under Trifolium pratense (red clover). Its description in RNAcentral is "long non-coding RNA (TPRA_LNC006092)". The record is from RNAcentral. Lineage: Eukaryota; Viridiplantae; Streptophyta; Magnoliopsida; Fabales; Fabaceae.